Molecule: ribosomal RNA, 444 nt
Filed under: uncultured bacterium
Lineage: Bacteria
Description: partial 16S ribosomal RNA
Rfam family: Bacterial small subunit ribosomal RNA
Source: RNAcentral
CCUACGGUGGGCUGCAGUGGGGAAUAUUGGGCAAUGGAGGAAACUCUGAUCCAGCAACGCCGCGUGAAUGAAGAAGGUCUUCGGAUCGUAAAGUUCUUUAGUCAGGGAAGAAUAAAAUGACGGUACCUGAAGAAUAAGCUCCGGCCAACUACGUGCCAGCAGCCGCGGUAAUACGUAGGGAGCAAGCGUUGUUCGGAAUGACUGGGCGGAAAGGGUGCGUAGGCGGUUAUACAAGUUAGAAGUGAAAUACCCGGGGCUUAACUCGGGUGCUGCUUCUAGAACUGUAAGACUGGAGUGCAGGAGAGGUUAGUGGAAUUCCUGGUGUAGCGGUGGAAUGCGUAGAUAUUAGGAGGAACACCAGAGGCGAAGGCGGCUAACUGGACUGCAACUGACGCUGAGGCACGAAAGUGUGGGGAGCAAACAGGAUUAGAUACCCGAGUAGUC